This is a long non-coding RNA of Siniperca chuatsi (mandarin fish), 1623 nucleotides long. RefSeq lists it as uncharacterized. The transcript has 3 exons. The record is from RefSeq and is a predicted model, not a curated record. Lineage: Eukaryota; Metazoa; Chordata; Actinopteri; Centrarchiformes; Sinipercidae.
CAAUGACUGAAAACUUUUUCCAAGUUAAAACAUAUAGGUAAAGCAGUGGCCAGGAAAGCAGUGUAGCAUAGAAAACUUGGCUUAAAAACUCAAUAAAAUAUCAAUUUAUGAUGGUUUAAGUUUCAAGUGACGCUUCUGCCUGGUACACAAAAACGCCAUUAAAUGUGUCAUUUAAUAAUUGAUGUAUUUUACCAUCUUAAAGUGUAAACGUUAAGUAUGGAUGCAUGAAGGUAAGAAGGAUUAUGUUCCUGUAAGCCAUUCAAUUUAAGACAGUGAGAUGGUGGCUAUACAUUGUUUUUUUAUUUUUAUAUAUUUUUUAAAGGGAGUUAAAAAGGCAUGUAUUUUGAGUUACAGUGAGAUCAUAAUGUACUCAUAAUAAAGAGGACUCCACACUGGACUUGAACAUAAACAAAAGCACAUUCCUGCUUCUGCCGGAUUGCAGCAGCCACGUCUUGGUCCGGUUUGGCCGCAACCUCUGGACAGUCUCUGUGGCGCUGGGUGGCAGGACCUCCACGGUGCUGGGCAGCGGUGAGACAUAACGUCGACAGGAGCCACACUUCCCUUCUGGGGGUCUUUCCAGAAGGUGGCUUCAGGACAGGAACAGGCUGAGGUGCAGACUGACAGCGAGCAGGCUGGAGUGAAGUCUGGUUGCUAGCAGGCCGGGAACCCAGCUGAUGGCUGUGAGGGCAGACUGGAAUAUGGAGUUAUGUGUGUGUGUGUUGGGGGGCAUUCCAUCCAUUCUUGCUCUUCCUGAGGAAAGAGGGAAAGUAUCACACACACACACAACUGCUGACAGCAGGUGGAGGGAGAGGUGCGCAUUCACCCCUCUAAGGCCAUUCACACAUCUGCCUCUUCUUUCAUCUCUCCGCCCAUUUGACAGACAUGUUUCUGCUGCUCUCAGGCUACAUUACUGAACUCUACAUUACUACAAAAAGUUUACUACGGAUUUCUUGUAACUUCAGCUACGUGCUCUAAAGGCUGUCUGUUUAGAGGGGCCCCCACUGUGCAGUACUGAGAUGACAACACCUAAAAGUCACGUUUGCAUUAGCUGCUUCAUUCAUGCUUCACCAUCAGUGGCUUGGCUACCAGCUGAAUUGUGACAUCCAAUUAUAAUGUGACACUGAAAUUGCAGUAUCUGCAAAGCAUCUGUAAAUGCCUCCGUGGAAAAAAAAAAAGGAUGUUGGUCUGAGUAGAAUUUGUGCUCAUAGUUUAAGCUUGUAUGAUAAUUCAGGCCACAGGAGUCUGCUUUCAUGAAACUCAAGGGAAAAAAACAUUAGCACAUUAGCUAUUGAAUUGGACGUGGUUGGCUAUGUUGGAAAAUAAAAUUGCUUCUCUUGCUUUUCUCUUUCUCUCUCUAGCUGCGAAUGCAUGAACACACAAACACACACACAGGCAAAGAGGAUGCCAACCAGAACAGUGGCUUGUCAAAGCUCCACGGGGGCAGCUACGCCAGCGCUGACGCACUGCUCCUCUCCUGCCAGCUAAUGGGGUUUGUUCCCGUUUUCUGUGCUGUGAUGUACAGCUUCAGGAAGUCCUUGUAGCGAGGUGCGCAGCCAAGCCAGGCUUCGCCAAAAUGGACAGAGCCAGUCAAAAGGUACUCAUCCCCUCCAGGGUGCACACUGC